UAUAAAUUUCUGCAAUUAAAA
RNAcentral lists this non-coding RNA (21 nucleotides) under Caenorhabditis elegans. The record is from RNAcentral. Lineage: Eukaryota; Metazoa; Nematoda; Chromadorea; Rhabditida; Rhabditidae.